This 2201-nucleotide ribosomal RNA is filed under the name Salmonella enterica subsp. enterica serovar Weltevreden. Its description in RNAcentral is "bacterial LSU rRNA". It matches the Rfam family "Bacterial large subunit ribosomal RNA", at positions 14 to 2236 of the family's 2925-position model. Lineage: Bacteria; Pseudomonadati; Pseudomonadota; Gammaproteobacteria; Enterobacterales; Enterobacteriaceae. The record is from RNAcentral.
AGCGUACACGGUGGAUGCCCUGGCAGUCAGAGGCGAUGAAGGGCGUGCUAAUCUGCGAUAAGCGCCGGUAAGGUGAUAUGAACCGUUAUAACCGGCGAUACCCGAAUGGGGAAACCCAGUGUGAUUCGUCACACUAUCAUUAACUGAAUCCAUAGGUUAAUGAGGCGAACCGGGGGAACUGAAACAUCUAAGUACCCCGAGGAAAAGAAAUCAACCGAGAUUCCCCCAGUAGCGGCGAGCGAACGGGGAGGAGCCCAGAGCCUGAAUCAGCAUGUGUGUUAGUGGAAGCGUCUGGAAAGGCGCGCGAUACAGGGUGACAGCCCCGUACACAAAAGCGCAUGUGCUGUGAGCUCGAUGAGUAGGGCGGGACACGUGGUAUCCUGUCUGAAUAUGGGGGGACCAUCCUCCAAGGCUAAAUACUCCUGACUGACCGAUAGUGAACCAGUACCGUGAGGGAAAGGCGAAAAGAACCCCGGCGAGGGGAGUGAAAAAGAACCUGAAACCGUGUACGUACAAGCAGUGGGAGCACAGGUUUACCUGUGUGACUGCGUACCUUUUGUAUAAUGGGUCAGCGACUUAUAUUCUGUAGCAAGGUUAACCGAAUAGGGGAGCCGGAGGGAAACCGAGUCUUAAUUGGGCGUUAAGUUGCAGGGUAUAGACCCGAAACCCGGUGAUCUAGCCAUGGGCAGGUUGAAGGUUGGGUAACACUAACUGGAGGACCGAACCGACUAAUGUUGAAAAAUUAGCGGAUGACCUGUGGCUGGGGGUGAAAGGCCAAUCAAACCGGGAGAUAGCUGGUUCUCCCCGAAAGCUAUUUAGGUAGCGCCUCGUGAAUUCAUCUCCGGGGGUAGAGCACUGUUUCGGCUAGGGGGCCAUCCCGGCUUACCAACCCGAUGCAAACUGCGAAUACCGGAGAAUGUUAUCACGGGAGACACACGGCGGGUGCUAACGUCCGUCGUGAAGAGGGAAACAACCCAGACCGCCAGCUAAGGUCCCAAAGUCAUGGUUAAGUGGGAAACGAUGUGGGAAGGCCCAGACAGCCAGGAUGUUGGCUUAGAAGCAGCCAUCAUUUAAAGAAAGCGUAAUAGCUCACUGGUCGAGUCGGCCUGCGCGGAAGAUGUAACGGGGCUAAACCAUGCACCGAAGCUGCGGCAGCGACGCUUAUGCGUUGUUGGGUAGGGGAGCGUUCUGUAAGCCUGUGAAGGUGGCCUGUGAGGGUUGCUGGAGGUAUCAGAAGUGCGAAUGCUGACAUAAGUAACGAUAAAGCGGGUGAAAAGCCCGCUCGCCGGAAGACCAAGGGUUCCUGUCCAACGUUAAUCGGGGCAGGGUGAGUCGACCCCUAAGGCGAGGCCGAAAGGCGUAGUCGAUGGGAAACGGGUUAAUAUUCCCGUACUUGGUGUUACUGCGAAGGGGGGACGGAGAAGGCUAUGUUGGCCGGGCGACGGUUGUCCCGGUUUAAGCGUGUAGGUGUGUGUUCCAGGUAAAUCCGGUUCACUUUAACACUGAGGCGUGAUGACGAGGCACUACGGUGCUGAAGCAACAAAUGCCCUGCUUCCAGGAAAAGCCUCUAAGCAUCAGGUAACAUCAAAUCGUACCCCAAACCGACACAGGUGGUCAGGUAGAGAAUACCAAGGCGCUUGAGAGAACUCGGGUGAAGGAACUAGGCAAAAUGGUGCCGUAACUUCGGGAGAAGGCACGCUGACACGUAGGUGAAGUGAUUUACUCAUGGAGCUGAAGUCAGUCGAAGAUACCAGCUGGCUGCAACUGUUUAUUAAAAACACAGCACUGUGCAAACACGAAAGUGGACGUAUACGGUGUGACGCCUGCCCGGUGCCGGAAGGUUAAUUGAUGGGGUCAGCGCAAGCGAAGCUCCUGAUCGAAGCCCCGGUAAACGGCGGCCGUAACUAUAACGGUCCUAAGGUAGCGAAAUUCCUUGUCGGGUAAGUUCCGACCUGCACGAAUGGCGUAAUGAUGGCCAGGCUGUCUCCACCCGAGACUCAGUGAAAUUGAACUCGCUGUGAAGAUGCAGUGUACCCGCGGCAAGACGGAAAGACCCCGUGAACCUUUACUAUAGCUUGACACUGAACAUUGAGCCUUGAUGUGUAGGAUAGGUGGGAGGCUUUGAAGCGUGGACGCCAGUCUGCGUGGAGCCGACCUUGAAAUACCACCCUUUAAUGUUUGAUGUUCUAACGUGGACCCGU